RNAcentral lists this non-coding RNA (27 nucleotides) under Mus musculus (house mouse). The record is from RNAcentral. Lineage: Eukaryota; Metazoa; Chordata; Mammalia; Rodentia; Muridae.
UACUGAACGACCCCUUAAACUCCUGGU